Molecule: ribosomal RNA, 468 nt
Filed under: uncultured bacterium
Lineage: Bacteria
Description: partial 16S ribosomal RNA
Rfam family: Bacterial small subunit ribosomal RNA
Source: RNAcentral
GACGAACGCUGGCGGCGUGCUUAACACAUGCAAGUCGAACGGAAAGGCCCUGCUUUUGUGGGGUGCUCGAGUGGCGAACGGGUGAGUAACACGUGAGUAACCUGCCCUUGACUUUGGGAUAACUUCAGGAAACUGGGGCUAAUACCGGAUAGGAGCUCCUGCUGCAUGGUGGGGGUUGGAAAGUUUCGGCGGUGGGGGAUGGACUCGCGGCUUAUCAGCUUGUUGGUGGGGUAGUGGCUUACCAAGGCUUUGACGGGUAGCCGGCCUGAGAGGGUGACCGGCCACAUUGGGACUGAGAUACGGCCCAGACUCCUACGGGAGGCAGCAGUGGGGAAUAUUGCACAAUGGGCGGAAGCCUGAUGCAGCAACGCCGCGUGCGUGAUGACGGCCUUCGGGUUGUAAACCGCUUUCGCCUGUGACGAAGCGUGAGUGACGGUAAUGGGUAAAGAAGCACCGGCUAACUACGUG